Molecule: non-coding RNA, 72 nt
Organism: Aedes aegypti (yellow fever mosquito)
Lineage: Eukaryota; Metazoa; Arthropoda; Insecta; Diptera; Culicidae
Source: Rfam
GGCUCGGUAGCUUAGUUGGUAAAGCGCUCGUAUAGAAUAUAAGAGUCCUGGGCUUGAAUCCCAGCCGAGCAC